This 124-nucleotide small RNA is filed under the name Marmota monax (woodchuck). The record is from RNAcentral. Lineage: Eukaryota; Metazoa; Chordata; Mammalia; Rodentia; Sciuridae.
GCUGGGUGUGGUGGUGCACACCUGUAAUCCCAGUCAGAACAGGAGGCUGAGGAAGGAGGAUUCUCAAGUUUGAGGCCAGCCUCAGCAAUUAGACCCUAAGCAACUUAGUGAGACCCUGACUCGA